GGAAAGAGAGGGAAAGAAACAAAAAGAGAGGGGAAGGGAGGAAUGGGAAAGAAGAGGAGAGGGAAAGAAAGAAAGAAAGAGAGACACACACCAGAGAACUAAUUAACUCCAUUGUUCCUCAGGUCACAAGGUCCCUAUCUGAUCUGCCUUCACUCCGCCUUUCAGAGUCUUAUGUUUGAUUUGUGUAUAUUAUCAAGGGGUUUUAGGUCACUUAGUUGGAAGAAUAGGGAAAAGUAUAUCUACUCUAGUUUUGUGGAAGUGGAAUUCUUCUGAGAACCUCUUUUUUUAUACAAAAUAUGUACUUGUGCAUAUUUUGUAUCAAAAUAUAUAAUGUACAUGUCCAUUUUGUACAUGUAUAUAAAUUGUAUAUAAGUAUUUAGGGUUAUAAAAAUAACCAAAGACACCAAAAACUGCCACAGGUGGAUUUGAGAAGACGUUGAAAUGCCUCCCCUGCUAAGACACGCUCCUCCUUGACAGAGUGGGAACCCUGAAAGCUGUAGUGUCACCACUGCCCUGUCCUGUACCUACCUAUCUUUUGACUCAUUUCCUCCAAGCUCAGGUUUUCAGUUUUCGGUGUGUGCCACCUAAAACUGAGCUGUGGAACUGCAGCACAAUCAUCAAAUUCAAAAAAGGCAAGGACAUCUUGCUCAGAUUUUAAGAUACACCAUAGAUGGAGUAAACUAAAACCUUUGAUUCCAGAUCCUUAACCCCGAUUACAAACAACACAACCCUUCAUGCCUAUUUAAAACGUCCCUUGCAAAAGAUGGUUUGAAUAUUCCAAGUUGGAAAUACCCAGUCUUUUUAAGUUACAGCACCCUUUUUGAUACAAAAAAUGGGCAUGACAGAAAUUGUAUAGUGAGUAGUGUUAUAAAAAUAACCAAACACACCAAAAGCUGCCACGGGUAAAUUUGAGAAAGUGCUGAAAUACACCACACAGCAUGAGACCUUGCUGGCUCUGUCUAAUAGAUGACGCUGGGGCUGCAAAUGGUGUCCCAGCCUUCCAGCGUCUGUGGUCUCCAGAACAGGGCUGAAACCUGUUCUGCACUGACACUGCUCUCCUAAGAAGACCCCAAGUUGAGAGGAGCCUCUUACCCACUCAUCUAUAAUCAAAGCAGACUUGAUGCCCAUCAGAGUUGCCCAGUGAUUCUGAUUCAGUAUGGCGGGAAUCUAAAAGGUUGAGGAUGGAGAAGCCUGCAGGAUGGCAAAGUGAGGGACCCCGGCAGUGGGACCUCAGGAAUCCACCCCUGAAACUCUGACUGGGGUGCCCGUGGAGGCUCUGAAGGUACAGCAGUCAGGCGCUCUGUGGCAUUCUGAAUACUGACAUGCAGCCUUCGGCCUCUGCCAGCUUUUGUGAGCUGCCCUGCACCAGGCAGAGGUGGCCCCCAGGCCUGGCACAGGGUCUGACACAUGGCACAUGCUAUAGAAAUAACUGUGGACUGCCUGACUGCAAGAUCUCAUUGAACAUCUGGAACAUCUGGCCUCAGCCUGUGCUGCUGCAGCCAGGAGCGAAUACAGGGAAGUCCGGGUAAGGAGAACGCAUGCCUGUGUGGGCCCCAAGGAUCCAUCUCAAGA
Chlorocebus sabaeus (green monkey) is the source of this 1572-nucleotide non-coding RNA. Lineage: Eukaryota; Metazoa; Chordata; Mammalia; Primates; Cercopithecidae. The record is from RefSeq and is a predicted model, not a curated record.